RNAcentral lists this ribosomal RNA (434 nucleotides) under uncultured bacterium. RNAcentral's name for it is "partial 16S ribosomal RNA". It matches the Rfam family "Bacterial small subunit ribosomal RNA", at positions 29 to 507 of the family's 1533-position model. The record is from RNAcentral.
AGCGAACGCUGGCGGCAGGCCUAACACAUGUAAGUCGAACGAACCUUUCGGGGUUAGUGGCGGACGGGUGAGUAACACGUGGGAACGUGCCUUUAGGUUCGGAAUAACUCAGGGAAACUUGUGCUAAUACCGAAUGUGCCCUUCGGGGGAAAGAUUUAUCGCCUUUAGAGGGGCCCGCGUCUGAUUAGCUAGUUGGUUGAGGUAAUGGCUCACCAAGGCGACGAUCAGUAGCUGGUCUGAGAGGAUGAUCAGCCACAUUGGGACUGAGACACGGCCCAAACUCCUACGGGAGGCAGCAGUGGGGAAUCUUGCGCAAUGGGCGAAAGCCUGACGCAGCCAUGCCGCGUGAAUGAUGAAGGUCUUAGGAUUGUAAAAUUCUUUCACCGGGGACGAUAAUGACGGUACCCGGAGAAGAAGCCCCGGCUAACUUCGUG